This 74-nucleotide transfer RNA is filed under the name Fusarium acuminatum CS5907. Its description in RNAcentral is "tRNA-Thr". It matches the Rfam family "tRNA". Rfam says of the family: Transfer RNA (tRNA) molecules are approximately 80 nucleotides in length. Their secondary structure includes four short double-helical elements and three loops (D, anti-codon, and T loops). The record is from RNAcentral. Lineage: Eukaryota; Fungi; Ascomycota; Sordariomycetes; Hypocreales; Nectriaceae.
UGCCUUUAUAGCUCAGUGGUAGAGCGUUGCACUUGUAAUGCAAAGGUCCAUAGUUCAAUCCUGUGUGGAGGCAG